RNAcentral lists this ribosomal RNA (253 nucleotides) under uncultured bacterium. Its description in RNAcentral is "partial 16S ribosomal RNA". It matches the Rfam family "Bacterial small subunit ribosomal RNA", at positions 524 to 776 of the family's 1533-position model. The record is from RNAcentral.
UACGUAGGGGGCAAGCGUUGUCCGGAUUUAUUGGGCGUAAAGAGCGUAUAGGCGGCCAGGUAGGUCAGCUGUGAAAACUCGAGGCUUAACCUCGAGACGCCGGCUGAAACCCUCUGGCUAGAGUCCGGAAGAGGAGAGCGGAAUUCCUGGUGUAGCGGUGAAAUGCGCAGAUAUCAGGAAGAACACCCGUGGCGAAGGCGGCUCUCUGGGACGGUACUGACGCUGAGACGCGAAAGCGUGGGGAGCGAACAGG